RNAcentral lists this ribosomal RNA (497 nucleotides) under uncultured bacterium. RNAcentral's name for it is "partial 16S ribosomal RNA". It matches the Rfam family "Bacterial small subunit ribosomal RNA", at positions 28 to 507 of the family's 1533-position model. The record is from RNAcentral.
GAUGAACGCUGGCGGCGUGCCUAAUACAUGCAAGUCGAGCGAACAGACGAGGAGCUUGCUCCUCUGACGUUAGCGGCGGACGGGUGAGUAACACGUGGAUAACCUACCUAUAAGACUGGGAUAACUUCGGGAAACCGGAGCUAAUACCGGAUAAUAUAUUGAACCGCAUGGUUCAAUAGUGAAAGACGGUUUUGCUGUCACUUAUAGAUGGAUCCGCGCCGCAUGAGCUAGUUGGGAAGGUAACGGCUUACCAAGGCGACGAUGCGUAGCCGACCUGAGAGGGUGGUCGGCCACACUAGAACUGAGACACGGUCCAGACUCCUACGGGAGGCAGCAGUAGGGAAUCGUCCGCAAUGGGGGAAAGCCUGACGGAGCAACGCCGCGUGAGUGAUGAAGGUCUUCCGAUCGUAAAACUCUGUUAUUAGGGAAGAACAAAUGUGUAAGUAACUAUGCACGUCUUGACGGUACCUAAUCAGAAAGCCACGGCUAACUACGUG